Molecule: long non-coding RNA, 1860 nt
Filed under: Nicotiana tabacum (common tobacco)
Lineage: Eukaryota; Viridiplantae; Streptophyta; Magnoliopsida; Solanales; Solanaceae
Description: long non-coding RNA (NTAB_LNC007479)
Source: RNAcentral
UCUCUUUCCUCCCUUUUCAUUUUUUGGUCGAUUUUGUACCUCUCCUCACCAUCACAUGACUUUGUUUAACCAUUUUCAUGAAAGUUUCAGGAGCAACUUGAAGCUAUUUUGUUCUCUUCCAUAAGUCAAAAAUUUUCACAAAGAUCCGUUGGAAGACAAGAGAGGGUCACGGGUUCCUUACCCUUUUUCUUUGUUCAUCCAUAUCAGUCCCUUUUUCUGCUAUCUUGCAUCACGAUUUUGACCUCUCACAACGACUAUUUCUCAAAAUUUGAAGUUUGCAAAAUCCCACCCAAACAUGAACCCUAGAUCUACAUCUCUUAUAAAUACUCACAUCCGUGUGGGUUUAGAGAGGUUAGAGCUGCCACUCGAACACUACUGUAAACACCACUGUUUUUCUUACUCUUAUCACUCUUCUCGUCUCUUAGAAACUCUCAUAAAGAGCUUUCAAACUUUAUUUACUGUCUCGGUGUACUUUAGCCACAAUAGAGGUGCUCGAACCCAUUCGACUCGAGGUUCGGAUCUGUUCAUAACGAGAGAGUAGAUUCGAGGUCGAAGCUCCGGUUCGCUGCACUAUAAGAGGUAAUAUUCGACCCCGUUCUGUUUCUUUUCUCUUUUUGUUAAAAAAUUUUGUAUUUAAGAAUCAUGUUUUAGACUUCAAUUCUCUUAAAAAAUGUAUUCCCGAAAUUCUAGAUAAAGAUGUGUUUAGAAAUCAUGCUCUUAGGAAUUUAUAUUUUGAUCCUAUGACGUUUGACUCGUGUCCAUAUUAUUUGUUCUAUAGAGUACAUUUGCUGACUUUAGAAACUGAUUUGGUGUCUAUUUUCUGCUUGGAAUGUAAAAAUGCGUGUCAUUUUCUCCAAUACUCUGAUUUAUUUUAUUUUUCUUUUGCUCUUAAUAAGACAACUUGGAAUAAGUUGCCACUCUUUUUCUAUUCUAUCCUGCUACAAGCAUAAGUGAACUUUAUGUUAGAAUUCUUAGAUGACAUGUUAUACACCAUGACUUUACAUCAGCUUAUUGGUUUUAAAAUGCCUUGUUUGAAAUCAACUUUAACUAACUAAAAUACAUGUUGUAUUAUGAAUAUUAUGUCUUCCUGCUCUUCUUUGAUAUUUGGUUUAAGUGUUGGUAUCUUUGAUCAAUGUGUAAAAAUGACUUUAAAUUGAUGUGGAAUAUAUCCUUCUCCGCUUAUUGAAUUAGCUUAAAUCACUUUAGGUACUACUCAAUAGAAGAUAGAUAAAUAUUUAUUUCCUAACAUGGGAUACUAAUUAAAAAAUAUUUCUGUUAAUAAUAGUUAAGAGUUUUUAUAGCCAUGGUUAUAAAAAAUAUGUGCAGUCUCCUUAUGAUAAGAAGUAUAUUUAUUUAUCUUCUCCGAUCUUCAUAUUUGUUAAGAAGUAUAUGUUCCCCUCUAACUCUUUUAUUCUUUCUUUAUUUUCUCAUGAACACCGGAGCUGAAGGGUCUUACUUUGAGACUCAAUGAUGCCAUAACACUGCAUGGAGACUGCACAUCCCCGAGUCCUUUUUCCAGAUUUUACCGUGUUUAGACAUCAAAAUGCAGAAGAUAAAAUCUUCUAUGGGGCUUGGACAUGGCUUCAGAUUGCUUCACUUCGUUUCACUUAUCUUACUUACUUGCUAUUCUGACUAACUUAUAUUUCAGUUAUAUGUGUACUCUUAAACGUAGAAUUGUUACAUAAUGAUUGAACUGUGAUUACCAUUUAGAGUCUUUGCUUUAUGAUAUCAAGUCUUAGGACCAACAACUUAAUGAUUUCUCACGUAGCAGUAGUCUUAGGAUAAUGAAUCUUUAUAACACUUUAACAUUUUGGGGCAGUACUAAGUCAUGAUCUGGAAAGUUUUCUCUAUGUAUUAAUU